AAAGCAUCUAAGUGUGAAACCCUCCUCAAGAUGAGUCUUCCAUUGAGAUUCGUCAUAGACGAUGACGUUGAUAGGCUACAGGUCUAAAAGUGGUAACACCCAGCCGAGUAGUACUAAUGAAUCAAGGGCUCCUAUU
Molecule: ribosomal RNA, 136 nt
Filed under: Emticicia sp. BO119
Lineage: Bacteria; Pseudomonadati; Bacteroidota; Cytophagia; Cytophagales; Leadbetterellaceae
Description: partial 23S ribosomal RNA
Rfam family: Bacterial large subunit ribosomal RNA
Source: RNAcentral